UACGGAGGGGGCUAGCGUUGUUCGGAAUUACUGGGCGUAAAGCGCACGUAGGCGGAUCAGCAAGUUAGGGGUGAAAUCCCGGGGCUCAACCCCGGAACUGCCUUUAAAACUGUUGGUCUGGAGGUCGAGAGAGGUGAGUGGAAUUCCGAGUGUAGAGGUGAAAUUCGUAGAUAUUCGGAGGAACACCAGUGGCGAAGGCGGCUCACUGGCUCGAUACUGACGCUGAGGUGCGAAAGCGUGGGGAACAAACAGG
Molecule: ribosomal RNA, 253 nt
Filed under: uncultured bacterium
Lineage: Bacteria
Description: partial 16S ribosomal RNA
Rfam family: Bacterial small subunit ribosomal RNA
Source: RNAcentral